AGUGAACGCUGGCGGUAGGCCUAACACAUGCAAGUCGAACGGCAGCACAGUAAGAGCUUGCUCUUACGGGUGGCGAGUGGCGGACGGGUGAGGAAUACAUCGGAAUCUACUCUUUCGUGGGGGAUAACGUAGGGAAACUUACGCUAAUACCGCAUACGACCUACGGGUGAAAGCAGGGGAUCUUCGGACCUUGCGCGAUUGAAUGAGCCGAUGUCGGAGUAGCUAGUUGGCGGGGUAAAGGCCCACCAAGGCGAGGAUCCGUAGCUGGUCUGAGAGGAUGAUCAGCCACACUGGAGCGGAGACACGGUCCAGACUCCUACGGGAGGCAGCAGUGGGGAAUAUUGGACAAUGGGCGCAAGCCUGAUCCAGCCAUACCGCGUGGGUGAAGAAGGCCUUCGGGUUGUAAAGCCCUUUUGUUGGGAAAGAAAAGCAGCAGGUUAAUACCACGCUGUUCUGACGGUACCCAAAGAAUAAGCACCGGCUAACUUCGUG
This 492-nucleotide ribosomal RNA is filed under the name uncultured bacterium. RNAcentral describes it as "partial 16S ribosomal RNA". It matches the Rfam family "Bacterial small subunit ribosomal RNA", at positions 29 to 507 of the family's 1533-position model. The record is from RNAcentral.